UGACGCCCGGAGGAAUCUGAGCUGGGCCUCGGGAGGUCGUAGCCUGGAAGGAGGGGGCGACCCUUAAGCCCUGCGGAUGAUUAAAGAGGAAGUUACAUCUUCUGGGAUCAGGGAGAAGAGAAUCUCACCCCCGACUCCUAACAGGCCUUCAACCCAGGGAGUCAUACCAGGAAACCAGUUCAAAUGAAACAAGUUCCUACCUCACCCCAACCUAACCCCUUGGAUCUUCCCCUACCCAGCCUCCCUCCUCUUCUUAGAUGGAACCCCCUCCCAGCCCACCCCCAAUCCAAGGACACCACCAGUGCCACCCCUGGGAUACCCCAAGCCCAAGAGGGGUCUCUACAAUCAUCAUUCCCAGCACCUCCAUGCCUUUGAUGAAGAUUCUCAAAGCGAUUUCCCAUCAAGGAUGUCAAUUACAACAGGGUUUCAAAGUAAGUUUCAAGUCAAGCCUUUUUCUUCUAAUUAAUCUUAAUCCAAACUACAUUCAGAGUGGAUCAAAAUGGGACUGGCUCUAGUUAGAGUCCGGCCUGGAGUCCCACCACUUCUCAGGAUAAGCUGACCGCCUUGUGGAGAUACCUGCUUAGGAAGCCAGGGCUUGGCAGAGCAGUUGAAAAUGUGCAUAUGCUAACAGAAGAGUCAUUCAGUUUCUAAGAGAACAUCUUUUCAGGGCUGGAGGGAGGGGCUACCCAGGACAGGAAUGGCUAGGGGCUACUCUGGCUAGAGGUCUCUGCUUAGAUUUGGGGAGAACAUCACAGGCUGGAUUGAGACUAACCAGUGGGGAGUCCAAGAACUUCAGAAGUUACUCUAUCGGGAGAGAGAUCAGGGUUCAUUUAUGCCCUGAGCGAGAAGUUUCUCCCCAUUUGGUGAUUGGUGGUGAGUGGCAAUCUCUGGGAGCAGGUGGUGGGCUUUCCUCAUGGUGUCCUGAGUUUGGGGCUGAAGGCUAGAGGGGGAACUUGCUGGCUCUCCUCAGCCUCAGACUCUCCCU
Long non-coding RNA from Nyctereutes procyonoides (raccoon dog), 985 nucleotides. RefSeq lists it as uncharacterized. The transcript has 3 exons. The record is from RefSeq and is a predicted model, not a curated record. Lineage: Eukaryota; Metazoa; Chordata; Mammalia; Carnivora; Canidae.